This 491-nucleotide ribosomal RNA is filed under the name Gonodactylaceus falcatus. Its description in RNAcentral is "SSU rRNA". It matches the Rfam family "Eukaryotic small subunit ribosomal RNA", at positions 799 to 1288 of the family's 1831-position model. Lineage: Eukaryota; Metazoa; Arthropoda; Malacostraca; Stomatopoda; Gonodactylidae. The record is from RNAcentral.
AUAUUCGUGCAUGGAAUAAUGGAAUAGGACCUCGGUUCUAUUUUGUUGGUUUUCGGAACUCGAGGUAAUGAUUAAUAGGGACAGAAGGGGGCAUUCGUAUUGCGACGUUAGAGGUGAAAUUCUUGGAUCGUCGCAAGACGAACUACUGCGAAAGCAUUUGCCAAGAAUGUUUUCAUUAAUCAAGAACGAAAGUUAGAGGUUCGAAGGCGAUCAGAUACCGCCCUAGUUCUAACCAUAAACGAUGCUGACUAGCGAUCCGCCGGCGUUAUUCCCAUGACUCGGCGGGCAGCUUCCGGGAAACCAAAGUCNUUGAGUUCCGGGGGAAGUAUGGUUGCAAAGCUGAAACUUAAAGGAAUUGACGGAAGGGCACCACCAGGAGUGGAGCCUGCGGCUUAAUUUGACUCAACACGGGGAACCUCACCAGGCCCGGACACCGGAAGGAUUGACAGAUUGAGAGCUCUUUCUUGAUUCGGUGGGUGGUGGUGCAUGGC